UUCCUUAUUCUCUCACCUCACAUCACAACCUCCUCUUUCUUCGUCUUCUUUCUCGCUCUUCUUUUCUUCAAUGCUCCGCUAUGUUUUUUCUCUGAUUUGAAGGAGGUCCGCUACCACACUUUCUCUGAUUUGAAGGAGGGUCGAUCGAUUUAUGAGCCAAUCACCGUCGAGGUUUUCGUUUUAGGGAGUAUCUCAAGCACCUACAGAAGUUAAUUUGAAGCGUUUUGUUAAAGAGCUAAAUCUGGAUAUCGACAUAUCGUUGAAGCUGAAAAAAAAGGAUUCAAUUCCAUCAAGAAAAGGGUGGCAGACAACUUCUUAGGGUUAUGAGAUUUGAGUUUGAGUUCCAGAUUUGAAGUUGGUUUCGAUCCAAAAACCAGAUUUAAAGUCCGUUUUGGUUCCAGUUUUUGUUGUGGAGUUUAAAGUGUACA
Long non-coding RNA from Beta vulgaris subsp. vulgaris (sugar beet), 428 nucleotides. RefSeq lists it as uncharacterized. The transcript has 5 exons. Lineage: Eukaryota; Viridiplantae; Streptophyta; Magnoliopsida; Caryophyllales; Amaranthaceae. The record is from RefSeq and is a predicted model, not a curated record.